This 280-nucleotide ribosomal RNA is filed under the name uncultured bacterium. RNAcentral describes it as "partial 16S ribosomal RNA". It matches the Rfam family "Bacterial small subunit ribosomal RNA", at positions 79 to 353 of the family's 1533-position model. The record is from RNAcentral.
ACUUGCUUCCUUUGCCGGCGACCGGCGCACGGGUGAGUAACACGUAUCCAACCUGCCCUUUACUCGGGGAUAGCCUUUCGAAAGAAAGAUUAAUACCCGAUGGCAUAAUGAUUCCGCAUGGUUUCAUUAUUAAAGGAUUCCGGUAAAGGAUGGGGAUGCGUUCCAUUAGGUUGUUGGUGAGGUAACGGCCCACCAAGCCUUCGAUGGAUAGGGGUUCUGAGAGGAAGGUCCCCCACAUUGGAACUGAGACACGGUCCAAACGCCUACGGGAGGCAGCAUG